RNAcentral lists this ribosomal RNA (551 nucleotides) under uncultured bacterium. RNAcentral's name for it is "bacterial SSU rRNA". It matches the Rfam family "Bacterial small subunit ribosomal RNA", at positions 355 to 896 of the family's 1533-position model. The record is from RNAcentral.
UGAGGAAUUUUGCGCAAUAGUUGGAAACCCUGACGCAGCAACGCCGCGUGAGUGAAGAAGGCCCUUGGGUCGUAAAGCUCUGUCAAGUGGGAAAAAAGCUUACUGGUAAAUAGCCAGCAAGACUGAUGGUACCAUUGAAGGAAGCACCGGCUAACUCCGUGCCAGCAGCCGCGGUAAUACGGAGGGUGCAAGCGUUGUUCGGAAUUACUGGGCGUAAAGGGCGUGUAGGCGGUGUGGUAAGUCAGAUGUGAAAGCCCUGGGCUUAACCCAGGAAGUGCAUUUGAAACUGCCAUGCUUGUGUAUGGGAGAGGAGAGUGGAAUUCCCAGUGUAGAGGUGAAAUUCGUAGAUAUUGGGGGGAACACCCGUGGCGAAGGCGACUCUCUGGACCAAUACUGACGCUGAGGCGCGAAAGCGUGGGGAGCAAACAGGAUUAGAUACCCUGGUAGUCCACGCUGUAAACGAUGAGCACUAGGUGUAGCGGGUAUUGACCCCUGCUGUGCCGUAGCUAACGCAUUAAGUGCUCCGCCUGGGGAGUACGGCCGCAAGGCUA